Molecule: ribosomal RNA, 377 nt
Filed under: uncultured bacterium
Lineage: Bacteria
Description: bacterial SSU rRNA
Rfam family: Bacterial small subunit ribosomal RNA
Source: RNAcentral
GUAGUCCACGCCCUAAACGAUGUCAACUAGGUGUUGGUAGGGUAAAACCUAUUAGUACCGUAGCUAACGCGUGAAGUUGACCGCCUGGGGAGUACGGCCGCAAGGUUAAAACUCAAAGGAAUUGACGGGGACCCGCACAAGCGGUGGAUGAUGUGGAUUAAUUCGAUGCAACGCGAAAAACCUUACCUACCCUUGACAUGUCCAGAAUCCCUGAGAGAUUGGGGAGUGCCUUCGGGAACUGGAACACAGGUGCUGCAUGGCUGUCGUCAGCUCGUGUCGUGAGAUGUUGGGUUAAGUCCCGCAACGAGCGCAACCCUUGUCAUUAAUUGCCAUCAUUAAGUUGGGCACUUUAAUGAGACUGCCGGUGACAAACCGGA